RNAcentral lists this ribosomal RNA (497 nucleotides) under uncultured bacterium. RNAcentral's name for it is "partial 16S ribosomal RNA". It matches the Rfam family "Bacterial small subunit ribosomal RNA", at positions 28 to 507 of the family's 1533-position model. The record is from RNAcentral.
GAUGAACGCUGGCGGCGUGCCUAAUACAUGCAAGUCGAGCGAACAGACGAGGAGCUUGCUCCUCUGACGUUAGCGGCGGACGGGUGAGUAACACGUGGAUAACCUACCUAUAAGACUGGGAUAACUUCGGGAAACCGGAGCUAAUACCGGAUAAUAUAUUGAACCGCAUGGUUCAAUAGUGAAAGACGGUUUUGCUGUCACUUAUAGAUGGAUCCGCGCCGCAUUAGCUAGUUGGUAAGGUAACGGCUUACCAAGGCGACGAUGCGUAGCCGACCUGAGAGGGUGAUCGGCCACACUGGAACUGAGACACGGUCCAGACUCCUACGGGAGGCAGCAGUAGGGAAUCUUCCGCAAUGGGCGAAAUCUUGACGGAGCAACGCCGCGUGAGUGAUGAAGGUCUUCGGAUCGUAAAACUCUGUUAUUAGGGAAGAACAAAUGUGUAAGUAACUAUGCACGUCUUGACGGUACCUAAUCAGAAAGCCACGGCUAACUACGUG